GGCGCGCCGUUGGUGUCAUGCGGAAGAUGGCGGCGUCCAGGGGUGGCUGAGGCUUCUGGGGGAGGCGGUGACAGGUUUCCGUACAGCCCGAGCGUGCGGCUUGGGGAUCCCUUCACUCUGUGUUUCCUGCUCUCAGGUUUCGCGCCGGUCGUCCUUCCAGGCGCGAUGUGGAGGAGCUGCCUCCGGCUGUGGGACGAGGGGCGCCGCCUCCUGAACCGGCCCCGGGGUGGCCUCAUCGCCUCCGUGGGGCCGGGGCCAAACCCCCGCUUGCAAGCCCGGGCAUACGCCCCCCUGACAGAAAGGAAGAGGUUUUAUCAGAAUGUCAGCAUCACACAGGGAGAAGGUGGCUUUGAGAUAAACUUGGACCACAGAAAGCUGAAAACUCCCCAAGCCAAGCUCUUUACUGUUCCCAGCGAGGCCCUGGCCAUCGCAGUGGCCACUGAAUGGGACUCCCAACAGGACACCAUCAAGUUCUACACUAUGCACCUGACCACACUGUGCAACACGUCUUUAGACAACCCAACCCAGCGAAACAAGGACCAGCUGAUCCGAGCAGCUGUGAAGUUUCUGGACACCGACACCAUCUGCUACAGGGUGGAAGAGCCAGAGACAUUAGUGGAACUUCAAAAGAACGAGUGGGACCCAGUCAUAGAAUGGGCCGAGAAGAGAUACGGCGUGGAGAUUGGCUCCUCCACCAGCAUAAUGGGGCCCAGCAUCCCAGCCAGGACUCAGGAGGUGCUCAUCAGCCACCUGGCGUCUUACAACAUGUGGGCCCUACAAGGGAUUGAGUUUGUAGUGACCCAGCUCAAGUCCAUGGUGCUGACCUUGGGCCUGAUUGACCUGCGCCUGACCGUGGAGCAGGCUGUGUUGCUGUCACGCCUGGAGGAGGAGUACCAGAUCCAGAAGUGGGGCAACAUUGAGUGGGCCCACGACUAUGAGCUGCAGGAGCUGCGGGCACGCACGGCUGCUGGCGCCCUCUUCGUCCACCUCUGCUCCGAGAGCACCACAGUCAAGCACAAGCUCCUGCGGGAGUGAGGCCCGGGCGGCACGCACCACACAGCCGGCAGGACAGAGGCUGCACAGCCACACGACUCCCUGGCUCGUCCCCAACUUGGCAUCGCCCUGAGAUGCCCCCAAGACAGUGCAGCUGUCUAGAGUCAGCCUGAGUCCAGCCCUGCGGGCCAGCUGUCCCGGUUUCAACAAAGUCCAACAGCUUCCCUCCCAGAGCACGUUCUGAUACCUGCUGCCUGUGGCCCGAGCCUCACCCUGGGGACACCACGUCAUCAACAGACAACUCUGCAUGUGAUCCUCAGCCUUCAGCCUGAAGGCUUUU
Equus quagga is the source of this 1333-nucleotide RNA transcript. It is a transcript of the gene named ATP synthase mitochondrial F1 complex assembly factor 2, with no coding region annotated. The transcript is spliced from 9 exons. NCBI's taxonomy places the organism in Eukaryota, Metazoa, Chordata, Mammalia, Perissodactyla, Equidae. The record is from RefSeq and is a predicted model, not a curated record.